This 88-nucleotide transfer RNA is filed under the name Helicobacter cetorum MIT 00-7128. Its description in RNAcentral is "tRNA-Ser (TGA) (tRNA-Ser-TGA-1-1)". It matches the Rfam family "tRNA". From Rfam's summary of the family: Transfer RNA (tRNA) molecules are approximately 80 nucleotides in length. Lineage: Bacteria; Pseudomonadati; Campylobacterota; Epsilonproteobacteria; Campylobacterales; Helicobacteraceae. RNAcentral also lists the same sequence under 1 other name. The record is from RNAcentral.
CGGGAGAUGGCUGAGUGGUUGAAAGCGGCGGUCUUGAAAACCGUUGAGGGUAAUACCUCCGGGGGUUCGAAUCCCUCUCUCCCGGCCA